AUUGAACGCUAGCGGGAUGCUUUACACAUGCAAGUCGAACGGCAGCGCGGACUUCGGUCUAGCGGCGAGUGGCGAACAGGUGAGUAAUGUAUCGGAACGUGCCCAGUAGCGGGGGAUAACUACGCGAAAGCGUAGCUAAUACCGCAUACGCCCUACGGGGGAAAGCAGGGGAUCGUAAGACCUUGCACUAUUGGAGCGGCCGAUAUCGGAUUAGCUAGUUGGUGAGGUAACGGCUCACCAAGGCGACGAUCCGUAGCUGGUUUGAGAGGACGACCAGCCACACUGGGACUGAGACACGGCCCAGACUCCGACGGGAGGCAGCAGUGGGGAAUUUUGGACAAUGGGGGCAACCCUGAUCCAGCCAUCCCGCGUGUGCGAUGAAGGCCUUCGGGUUGUAAAGCACUUUUGGCAGGAAAGAAACGUCGCGGGCUAAUACCCCGUGGAACUGACGGUACCUGCAGAAUAAGCACCGGCUAACUACGUG
Molecule: ribosomal RNA, 484 nt
Filed under: uncultured bacterium
Lineage: Bacteria
Description: partial 16S ribosomal RNA
Rfam family: Bacterial small subunit ribosomal RNA
Source: RNAcentral